Molecule: ribosomal RNA, 334 nt
Filed under: uncultured Desulfotomaculum sp.
Lineage: Bacteria; Bacillati; Bacillota; Clostridia; Eubacteriales; Desulfotomaculaceae
Description: bacterial SSU rRNA
Rfam family: Bacterial small subunit ribosomal RNA
Source: RNAcentral
CGUGUCGUCAGCUCGUGUCGUGAGAUGUUGGGUUAAGUCCCGCAACGAGCGCAACCCUUACGGUUAGUUGCCAGCGGGUUAUGCCGGGCACUCUAGCUGAACUGCCGUUGACAAAACGGAGGAAGGUGGGAUGACGUCAAAUCAUCAUGCCCUUUAUGUCCUGGGCUACACACGUGCUACAAUGGCCUGUACAGAGGGAAGCGAAAGGGUGACCUGGAGCGAAUCCCAAAAAGCAGGUCUCAGUUCGGAUUGCAGGCUGCAACCCGCCUGCAUGAAGUCGGAAUCGCUAGUAAUCGCAGGUCAGCAUACUGCGGUGAAUACGUUCCCGGGUCUU